UACUGUGUGUGUUUGUGUAGGCUGAGCUAGCUGUCCACAAGAAGAAGAUUGAAGAAGUGGAGAACUGGAUAAGAGUUCACACAAACACAUCAGAGGGUAACAUCUUGCUGCUGACAGGACCAUCAGGUUGUGGAAAGACAGCAACAGUCCAGGUUUUGUCUCAGGAGCUGGGCCUCAGGGUUCAGGAGUGGGCCAAUCCCACCAACCUGGAGCCAUACAGCAGCAGUCAGCAUGAAUGGAGGAUGAACGGCUUUUCCUUCAGCUCCCAGUUAGCCCAAUUCCAGGACUUCCUCCUCAAAACCAACAAAUACAACUGCCUGAAGAUGGUGGGUGAUGGAGGACCUACAGACAGGAAGCUCAUACUGGUGGAGGUAUGUACUGCACCUUCAACUGGAGCCACUGUUCUGUAAUUAUCCCAAUUUGUCAUUCCUAUUCAUCUUAGUAGCACAGUAAAAAGCCUGUAGAAGAUGUCAUGAGGAAAAUUGCACAACCAUGUUGUUCUCCCUUGUUUUCUGUGUUUUCCUCUUAAAGCCUCAACUAUUUUGCAACAGUAUUUGCAUUAGCUGGAGCAGUGCCUACAGAAACUAGAUGGCAUCAUUUUGUCUCUUCCAUCUCUGUUCCGUCUGCAGCUGUAUGUCCAUCUCCAACAUUUUAG
This is a long non-coding RNA of Morone saxatilis (striped sea-bass), 655 nucleotides long. RefSeq lists it as uncharacterized. The record is from RefSeq and is a predicted model, not a curated record. Lineage: Eukaryota; Metazoa; Chordata; Actinopteri; Moronidae. The transcript is spliced from 3 exons.